UUCUCUCGUACGCGAAAUCUUUCUCACUCAAAACCCUAAAACUAUUUCCCUUCCCCUUAAACUCGAAUCGAAAGGCAUCAUUAUCAGAUCAGAACAGAACAAGUUCGCUCCCCCCAAAAUUAAAACCCUAACCUUCGAACAACCUCUCACCGCUACGCCACCGAUCCCUAUUUUCCCUCUUCAAUCUAUCAAAGAACAACAGAAUGAGUAGACGCUCCAGCAGAACCGUCUAUGUUGGUAAUCUACCUGGCGAUAUCCGUGAAAGAGAAGUUGAAGAUUUGUUUAUGAAGUAUGGACACAUAACUCACAUUGACCUAAAGGUUCCACCAAGGCCUCCUGGUUAUGCAUUUGUAGAGUUUGAAGAUUAUCAAGAUGCUGAGGAUGCAAUUCGCGGGCGUGAUGGCUAUGAUUUUGAUGGGCACCGGUUACGGGUGGAGGCUGCUCAUGGUGGUCGUGGUACUGGUAAUUCAUCUUCAAGAGAUCGAUAUAGUAGUCACACCAAUGGCCGGGGUGGACGUGGAGUAUCCAGACGUUUUGAAUAUCGCGUUCUAGUCAAUGGGUUGCCCUCUUCUGCAUCCUGGCAGGAUCUUAAGGAUCACAUGCGAAAAGCAGGGGAUGUUUGCUUUUCACAAGUUUUUCAUGAUGGAAGGGGUACGGGACAUUCAGAUGACUUUUUUCGCCAGGGUAAAUCCUCACAUCGUUCGCCAGCUAAAUCUCCAGCAAGAUCAGUUUCUCGUUCUCGCUCGAGAUCUAGAUCCCGUUCUUUAUCAGGCACAAGAUCAUUGAUAGCGUGCUUGCUCGAGGGGAGAGGCUGGACAGUUUAGUUGAGAAGAGUUCUGAUCUUAGUGCAGCGUCGCAGGUAAGUAAUACAGCUCUUGUUUUGCAACUCUGCCCUCUGGGAUUGUCCCAUGAGGACAUAUGAUGUGGUUACGUACAUUCAGAUAUUUGUUAUUUCUCCAACUCUUCUCGUUUUUCACUACUAAAGCUUUGGUGUAUGUGGUUAUGGUAUUCAUUAUGCAUGUAUUAUUGCAUUUUGUUCCUGUUAUUAAUGUCAUUGUUGGUUAGAUUUCUAGUGCUGCUUUUAUUUAAGUGAUUACGUGAUGAUAGGAAAUAAAUCAUAUUAAGGAGCUUACGAUGAUAGCUAUUUAGAAUUAUACUUAAAACUGUAUGGUAGUGGAUGUUCUAAGAUAGUACAGUACACCAUAAAAGAACAAUCUUAUAAGGCAAAGAACAAUCUCAUGGUUGACUACAUAACACAGGUAAAGAACAAUCUGAUCUGAUGCUUUUGCUUGCUGUAGAAUUUUAUUUUGUACUAGCAUUUGCAGAUUGGAAUCUCAUGGUUAAUCAUUCAUUUAUUCAUAAUUUUGUCUUUAAUUGCAGAUUAAUUGGUGAAAGAUCAGGAUAACUAUUCAUAUACAUACAUACUAGCUGCCUACUUGAGCAUGCAUGCGCUGAAACUAUAAGGAAGAGGAAAUGAAAUGGUGAUUUUCAACCUCGGGUUCUCAAUGCAUCAGAGCUUUUUGGAGCUUCUUGUUGUUAUUGUUGCAGUUCUGGAUCUUCUGAUGCAUGGAAAAUAUUUAAGUUUGAAUAUAUACUAAGUUGUGAAUGGCAUCAACAUCGUGUGUUACUAAGAGUCCGUUACCCAUGAAAGAGACAGCUUUGAGCCAUGGAGAAUAUCCUCCUGCUAUGGCAACAUAUGAAGAGGUUGUAGAUAAUCCAAAGCUCUUCAUGCUUAGCUUGGAGAAGCUCCAUGCUCUAAUGUGCACCAAGUUCAUGCAGUCAAGGAAUGGCGUUAACGAAGUUCUGAAGUCGGCUAACUAGAAUCAUGCAAAUAAUCUCUCUGCUCAAUGAUGAAGUGUAGACCAAUGUCCCUCUAGUGCAGAUUGGUUCAGGCAAGUUAAACCGUGCAUCUGGAACAGAAUGUCUGAUCAAUAUCCAAGUUAUGUCACCAUUAUUGAAGUGUGUAGUACAAAAGCCAUAGCUCAAAUGUUGAAUACGGGAAGAAAAACAUCCCAGUUGUACCUCUUGAAUGAAGACUUCAACUAAUCAAAAGUCAUGCAUCCUUCUUAGCACGAGUCAAGCAUCCGGAGCAAGGUGUAUCAAAUGUACAACUCAGACCGUACCCCAUGGUACAGUACAUUUGAUAACUACGCCCAUUUGUUGAAGUGCGUCACACACAAACCAUUAAAAAUGUAUCCGUGUUCUUUAUCGCUUUUCAUAGUUUUUGCUUUUGUGUGUUUAAUUGCUUAUCUCAAUUGUUUUGGUUGCUUUAUUCAUUUGCUUCACACACUAAAGAUUAUUGAUGUGGUUUCUUUGGAUUCACAACAGUGAUAACUUAGAAUGUGUUGUAUUUGCCUCAGUUCGAAGUCACUCUAAACUCAGUAUCAAAUUGUGUAAAGAACAAAUUUGCAAUUUGAUAUUUGAGACUAAUAGAUGAGUCAUACAGUGAUGUAGGAAGAUUUCUUCGGUAUUUUAUUAUUUUAGUUUUAUUAUAUUUUAGGU
Trifolium pratense (red clover) is the source of this 2502-nucleotide RNA transcript. It is a transcript of the gene named serine/arginine-rich-splicing factor SR34-like, with no coding region annotated. Lineage: Eukaryota; Viridiplantae; Streptophyta; Magnoliopsida; Fabales; Fabaceae. The transcript is spliced from 11 exons. The record is from RefSeq and is a predicted model, not a curated record.